AUCCGCAGCAGGUCUCCAAG
This 20-nucleotide non-coding RNA is filed under the name Mus musculus (house mouse). Lineage: Eukaryota; Metazoa; Chordata; Mammalia; Rodentia; Muridae. The record is from RNAcentral.